RNAcentral lists this ribosomal RNA (453 nucleotides) under uncultured bacterium. Its description in RNAcentral is "bacterial SSU rRNA". It matches the Rfam family "Bacterial small subunit ribosomal RNA", at positions 340 to 786 of the family's 1533-position model. The record is from RNAcentral.
UACGGAAGGCAGCAGUGGGGAAUAUUGCACAAUGGGCGCAAGCCUGAUGCAGCCAUGCCGCGUGUAUGAAGAAGGCCUUCGGGUUGUAAAGUACUUUCAGUCGUGAGGAAGGUGUUAAGGUUAAUAACCUUAGUAAUUGACGUUAGCGGCAGAAGAAGCACCGGCUAACUCCGUGCCAGCAGCCGCGGUAAUACGGAGGGUGCGAGCGUUAAUCGGAAUUACUGGGCGUAAAGGGCACGCAGGCGGUUAAUUAAGUUGGAUGUGAAAUCCCCGGGCUUAACCUGGGAAUGGCAUUCAAGACUGGUUAGCUAGAGUCUUGUAGAGGGGGUAGAAUUCCAUGUGUAGCGGUGAAAUGCGUAGAGAUGUGGAGGAAUACCGGUGGCGAAGGCGGCCCCUGGACAAAGACUGACGCUCAUGUGCGAAAGCGUGGGGAGCAAACAGGGAUUAGAUACC